AGUGAACGCUGGCGGUAGGCCUAACACAUGCAAGUCGAACGGCAGCACAGUAAGAGCUUGCUCUUACGGGUGGCGAGUGGCGGACGGGUGAGGAAUACAUCGGAAUCUACUUUUUCGUGGGGGAUAACGUAGGGAAACUUACGCUAAUACCGCAUACGUCCUACGUGUGAAAGCAGGGGAUCUUCGGACCUUGCGCGAUUGAAUGAGCCGAUGUCGGAUUAGCUAGUUGGCGGGGUAAAGGCCCACCAAGGCGACGAUCCGUAGCUGGUCUGAGAGGAUGAUCAGCCACACUGGAACUGAGACACGGUCCAGACUCCUACGGGAGGCAGCAGUGGGGAAUAUUGGACAAUGGGCGCAAGCCUGAUCCAGCCAUACCGCGUGGGUGAAGAAGGCCUUCGGGUUGUAAAGCCCUUUUGUUGGGAAAGAAAAGCAGCAGGUUAAUACCCCGCUGUUCUGACGGUACCCAAAGAAUAAGCACCGGCUAACUUCGUG
This 492-nucleotide ribosomal RNA is filed under the name uncultured bacterium. RNAcentral describes it as "partial 16S ribosomal RNA". It matches the Rfam family "Bacterial small subunit ribosomal RNA", at positions 29 to 507 of the family's 1533-position model. The record is from RNAcentral.